This 445-nucleotide ribosomal RNA is filed under the name uncultured bacterium. RNAcentral describes it as "bacterial SSU rRNA". It matches the Rfam family "Bacterial small subunit ribosomal RNA", at positions 330 to 792 of the family's 1533-position model. The record is from RNAcentral.
GCCAGACUCCUACGGGAGGCAGCAGUGGGGGAUAUUGCACAAUGGGGGGAACCCUGAUGCAGCGACGCCGCGUGGGUGAAGAAGCGCCUCGGCGCGUAAAGCCCUGUCAGCAGGGAAGAAAAUGACGGUACCUGAAGAAGAAGCCCCGGCUAACUACGUGCCAGCAGCCGCGGUAAUACGUAGGUGGCAAGCGUUAUCCGGAUUUACUGGGUGUAAAGGGCGUGUAGGCGGGGACGCAAGUCAGAUGUGAAAACCACGGGCUCAACCCGUGGCCUGCAUUUGAAACUGUUGGUCUUGAGUAUCGGAGAGGCAGGCGGAAUUCCUAGUGUAGCGGUGAAAUGCGUAGAUAUUAGGAGGAACACCAGUGGCGAAGGCGGCCUGCUGGACGACAACUGACGGUGAGGCGCGAAAGCGUGGGUAUCGAACAGGAUUAGAUACCCUGGUA